This 1089-nucleotide ribosomal RNA is filed under the name uncultured organism. Its description in RNAcentral is "bacterial SSU rRNA". It matches the Rfam family "Bacterial small subunit ribosomal RNA", at positions 48 to 1151 of the family's 1533-position model. The record is from RNAcentral.
CUUAUGCAUGCAGUCGAACGAUGAGGCCCUACGGGGGUACAUCAGUGGCAGACGGGUGAGUAACACGUAGGUAACCUGCCCUCGAGACGGGGAUAACGGCUGGAAGCGGUCGCUAAGACCCGAUAUAGUCUGACCUUCGGGAGAAGGUGAGAGGAAAGGCUUCGGUGCUCGGGGAGGGGCCUGCGGCCCAUCAGCUAGUUGGAGAGGUAACGGCUCCCCAAGGCAAUGACGGGUAGGGGGUGUGAGAGCAUGGNCCCCCACACUGGGACUGAGACACGGCCCAGACUCCUACGGGAGGCAGCAGCAGGGAAUAUUGCGCAAUGGACGGAAGUCUGACGCAGCGACGCCGCGUGGAUGACGAAGGCCUUCCGGGUUGUAAAAUCCUUUUCCGGGCGAUGAGGAAGGACACUAGCCUGGGAAUAAGCGUCGGCUAACUACGUGCCAGCAGCCGCGGUAAGACGUAGGACGCGAGCGUUAUCCGGAUUUACUGGGCGUAAAGCGCCUGCAGGCGGUCAGGUAAGUCGGUUGUGAAAGCCCCGUGCCUCAACGCGGGGGAGGCCAAGCCGAUAACUGCGAUGACUUGACGGGCGGAAACAGGCGGAGGUGGAAUUCCCGGGUGUGAGCGGUAAAAGUGCGCAGCAUAAUCGGCGAGGAACACCCAGUGGGCGAAAGCGGCUCCCCUGGACCGCACCUGACGCUCAGAAGGCGACAGUUAGGGCGAGCGACCAGGAUUAGAGACCCUGGUAGUCCUAGCCCUAAACGCUGGAUGCUAGGUGUAGGGCUGAUGAGGCUCUGUGCCGGAGCGAACGCGAUAAGCAUCCCGCCUGGGAACUACGGCCGCAAGGCUAUAACUCAAACGAAUUGACGGGGACCCGCACAAGCACCGGAGCGUGUGGUUUAAUUCGAUGCUACACGAAGAACCUUACCUGGGUUUGACAUGUUGGUGGUACCGAACCGAAAGGGGAGGGACCCUUCGGGGAGCCAACACAGGUGCUGCAUGGCUGUCGUCAGCUCGUGCCGUGAGGUGUCGGGUUAAGUCCCGUAACGAGCGCAACCCUUGCUCUUAGUUAUACGUGUCUAAGGGGACUG